GACGAACGCUGGCGGCGUGCUUAACACAUGCAAGUCGAACGGAAAGGCCCUGCUUGCAGGGUACUCGAGUGGCGAACGGGUGAGUAACACGUGGGUGAUCUGCCCUGCACUUCGGGAUAAGCCUGGGAAACUGGGUCUAAUACCGGAUAGGAGCCAUUUUUAGUGUGAUGGUUGGAAAGUUUUUUCGGUGUAGGAUGAGCUCGCGGCCUAUCAGCUUGUUGGUGGGGUAAUGGCCUACCAAGGCGGCGACGGGUAGCCGGCCUGAGAGGGUGGACGGCCACAUUGGGACUGAGAUACAGCCCAGACUCCUACGGGAGGCAGCAGGGGGGAAUAUUGCACAAUGGGCGCAAGCCUGAUGCAGCGACGCCGCGGGGGGGAUGACGGCCUUCGGGUUGUAAACUCCUUUCGCUAGGGACGAAGCUUUUUGUGACGGUACCUAGAUAAGAAGCACCGGCUAACUACGUG
This 465-nucleotide ribosomal RNA is filed under the name uncultured bacterium. RNAcentral's name for it is "partial 16S ribosomal RNA". It matches the Rfam family "Bacterial small subunit ribosomal RNA", at positions 28 to 507 of the family's 1533-position model. The record is from RNAcentral.